GGCGUGGGUAGGGCCAGGAGGGUCGCCGCCUCCUCUAGCCGAAGGCGUAAAGCGGGGCCAGUAACUCUCUGCGGUGCAGGAGACCUCAACAGCUGCCCUGAGGUUUGCGAUGAAGCCCGCCCCGUGGGGUCGGCGGUGGCGGAGCGUUCCUCGGAGGGGGAACGCCAACCGCCUUUACAGGGGGAACCGGCCAGGCCCGGAAGGGAGCAACCUAACCCCUGACGCCGACGUUCACGGGUCACCGGGUGGAGGACGGCCUCAGGAGCCGGUUGUUGAGAGUCCCCGCACCGCAGAGGGGGCCACGCC
Molecule: signal recognition particle RNA, 306 nt
Filed under: Desulfurococcaceae archaeon
Lineage: Archaea; Thermoproteati; Thermoproteota; Thermoprotei; Desulfurococcales; Desulfurococcaceae
Also listed under: 1 other name
Description: signal recognition particle sRNA
Rfam family: Archaeal signal recognition particle RNA
Source: RNAcentral